GAGCGCAACCCUUAUCCUUUGUUGCCAGCGGUCCGGCCGGGAAACUCAAAGGAGACUGCCAGUGAUAAACUGGAGGAAGGUGGGGAUGACGUCAAGUCAUCAUGGCCCUUACGACCAGGGCUACACACGUGCUACAAUGGCGCAUACAAAGAGAAGCGACCUCGCGAGAGCAAGCGGACCUCAUAAAGUGCGUCGUAGUCCGGAUUGGAGUCUGCAACUCGACUCCAUGAAGUCGGAAUCGCUAGUAAUCGUGGAUCAGAAUGCCACGGUGAAUACGUUCCCGGGCCUU
Molecule: ribosomal RNA, 289 nt
Filed under: uncultured Enterobacteriaceae bacterium
Lineage: Bacteria; Pseudomonadati; Pseudomonadota; Gammaproteobacteria; Enterobacterales; Enterobacteriaceae
Description: partial 16S ribosomal RNA
Rfam family: Bacterial small subunit ribosomal RNA
Source: RNAcentral